This is a long non-coding RNA of Sander lucioperca (pikeperch), 1565 nucleotides long. RefSeq lists it as uncharacterized. Lineage: Eukaryota; Metazoa; Chordata; Actinopteri; Perciformes; Percidae. The record is from RefSeq and is a predicted model, not a curated record. The transcript has 3 exons.
CCGUAUCUGGAAGGCUUUCAAACAAUUAAAUACUCCAGUUUUACAGUGGUAACAAGCAGGGCCACCCCAUAAUGACUCAAAUAUGCACAGGACCAGAUGUUCUCUUUGAAACAAGAGAGAGAGCAGUGAGCUUUACCUGUUGUCUGUGAAUAAACAUCAUCUUUGAUGUGAGGCUUUGUAUUGAACCCUCCUGACUAACUGAACUCUGGCUAACAGAUAAAUUGUUUACAUCACACCACACCGUGAAAUUCAAUUCUGUAUGCUGUUAAUGGUAGACUCACACCAGUGUCUUUCUGUGUGUGUGUGUGUGUGUGUGUGUGUGUGUGUGUGUGUGUGUGUUUGUGCCAGACUGAACAGCAGAUACCGCAGACCCCAGCUGAGACACAUGAUCAUCACCUGCUCUGAAAGACAGCGGAUUUGCACUGAAGGAGACCAACAUGAAUACAUGACUCGUUUCCAAGGAUACUGUGGGAGGAUGGCUGCCGGCUCCAGGCUACAUUAGCUGCUACUAGCAUUACACACCAGAAUCUCAAACCAAAGGGUCGGCGGUCGAGUUGCAUUGUGGGUAGGGACGGAACAUCUGAAGCCUGGACCAGUCACGUUGCACCACAGACGUCCGUACUGUAGCCCACACUCUCCCUCCAUGACUCUCACCAGCUAAAUGUUAGUCUUCCAUAUCGAUGAGUAUGUGGGCAGCGGGAGAGCUGGCAUCAAGCAGUCACUACUCAAAGUGUCAGAAUCAAGAAAAUUAGAGCUUUGUAAAUGUAUAUUAUCAGUGUGGACCGACUUUUGCUUUUGACAUGGAAGGUAAAUGUUGCUGGGAAGUGCUCUGUCACUCAGUAACUUACUAACAUUACUAUACAUACAUACUGUACAUACCAUACAAGCAUCCCCACUCACAGAUACAUUCACCUGCCUCUCUAAUCUCCAGCCUCUUCCCCCUCCACCCCACCUCUUCCUCUCCUAUGCCUAUUUCUGUCGUCUUAUUUGGAGUCAUUGAUAGAAGUGUGGUAGCUCAACACCCCCUCCCACACACACACACACACACACACACACACACACACACACACAUACACACCCGUCCAUCCACUCUCCUCCAUCCACCUCCCAUCUUACCCUGCCGUUACAGUCGCUGUGGUCUCCCUGCCCCUGCAACACCCCUGCUGAGCACACGCGGUUAGUACAGUCUGCCUGUGCUCUCUCCUUAUAAGGGCAAAAUACAUUGACAGAGGCAGAGAUAGGGGGGCUGUACCAGCACAGGCAGGCAGGUAGGGGGACAGUGGCUCUAACAGGAGGAGAGAGAAAUUAUGCCAGAGGAGCAGAGAUUAGGAAAAAGUGAACAGGGAGAAGGAGAGACAAAGAUGGCCAGGGAGAGAGGGUGAUGGGGAUUGUGUCAUAAAAAAUUGGGUUCAACUAAAGCUUGGAGGCUUAUGAAAGAAAAUAGCAACAUUUGUCCACUGAGGAGGCCAGUAGCACAUUUUGUGGCAUUGAUUUUCAGAUUUCAAGAUCUAGUUUUUCUCCGUGAAUUUCAUUUCAUUUCAGGGUAGAAAACCCUACCAAGAAAC